Molecule: unclassified non-coding RNA, 4251 nt
Filed under: Hevea brasiliensis (rubber tree)
Lineage: Eukaryota; Viridiplantae; Streptophyta; Magnoliopsida; Malpighiales; Euphorbiaceae
Source: RNAcentral
AUACACUCCACAACAGAAUGGAGUAAGUGAAAGAAAGAAUAGAGUGAUAAUGGAGAUGACAAGAUGUCUGCUACAUGAAAUGGAUUUGCCAAAGAAAUUCUGGGCAGAGGCUGCAAGUACUGCAGUUUUUUUACUCAAUAGGCUUUCUACUAAAGCUUUGAAGAAUAAAACUCCUUUCGAGGCUUGGUUUGGCUAUAAACCAUUUCUGUUAAACUUAAAAAUAUUUGGAUGCCUAUGUUUUUCUUAUGUGCCUCAGGUGAAAAGGGAUAAGCUUGAUAGAAAGGCUGAAGCAGGAAUCUUUGUAGGCUAUAGCAACACAUCAAAAGCUUACAGAGUUUAUCUACCUCAAGCAGAUAAAGUCAUAACCAGCAGAGAUGUGAGGUUUCUGGAAGAUGAAAAAUGGAGUUGGAAUGAUGCUGAAAAAAAUAAAAUUCCAAAAAAAAUUCAAGAGAUUGAUGAUGCCUUAGAAUUUUUUGAUGAUGCCUUUGAUGAUGAACCAGUAAGGGGCACAAGAUCACUUGAAGACAUUUAUCACAGGUGCAAUGUGGCUAUCAUGGAACCAGAAAAAUUUGCAGAUGCUGUUUUAGAUGAGAAAUGGGUUUCAGCAAUGGAGGAGGAGCUGAGAAUGAUUGAGAAAAAUGAUACAUGGGAGCUUGUAGAUAGACCAACACAUAAGAAGGCCAUUGGAGUGAAAUGGGUUUAUCGAACAAAGCUGAAUUCUGAUGGAUCUGUUAAUAAACAUAAAGCAAGACUGGUGGUCAAAGGUUAUGCUCAAAUGUUCGGAGUUGAUUUCUCUGAAACAUUUGCUCCUGUAGCACGUCUUGAUACAAUUCGAAUGCUAUUAGCCAUAGUUGCACAAAAAGGAUGGAAGGUUCAUCAACUUGACGUAAAAUCGGUGUUUUUAAACGGUUACUUGGAAGAAGAAAUUUUUGUAGAACAGCCCGAAGGUUUUCUGGUUAAAGGAUAUGAAGAUAAAGUAUAUCGUUUGAAAAAAGCCUUAUAUGGUUUGAAGCAAGCCCCUAGGGCAUGGUACAGCCGAAUCGAUUCCCAUCUUCUAAGCUUAGGCUUUGAGAAAAGCUUGAGUGAAUUUACUCUCUAUGUUAAGAAAAUAGAAAUAGAUAUACUCAUAAUAUCUUUGUAUGUAGAUGAUCUGUUAAUAACAGGUAGCGAUGGAAGGAUGAUAAAUCAAUUCAAGACAGAGAUGAUGGAGGUGUUUGAAAUGACAGACCUUGGAGAAAUGUCUUUUUUCCUUGGAAUUGAAGUGCAUCAAAAAAAGAAUGAAGUUUUUAUUUGUCAACAAAAAUAUGCCAAGGAGAUUCUAAAAAAGUUCAAGAUGGAGAAUUGCAAGUCAACUACAACCCCAAUGAAUUUGAAGGAGAAAUUCUGCAAAGAAGAUGGAACAAAAAAGGUAGAUGAGGUGCUAUACAGGAGUUUAAUAGGUUGCCUAAUGUAUCUAACUGCAACCCGACCCGAUAUCGUGCAUGCUGUAAGUUUACUAUCAAGAUAUAUGCAUUGUGCCAGUGAGACUCAUUUUCAAGCAGCAAAAUGCAUAAUCAGAUAUAUUAAAGGCACAAUAAACCAUGGUAUUAAGUUCAGUCAUGUUCAGAAUUUUAAUUUUCAUGGUUUUUCCGAUAGUGAUUGGGCCGGUUGUUUAGAUGAUAUGAAGAGCACCUCCGGUUACUGUUUCAGUUUUGGUUCUGGCAUAUUUUCCUGGUGUUCCAAGAAGCAAGAUGUGAUAGCCCAAUCCACAGCUGAAGCAGAGUAUGUUGCAGCCACUUUAGCAGUUAAUCAAGCUUUGUGGAUAAGAAAACUGUUAGCUGACUUGUCUAUGGAAGAAAAAGGAAGUACACAGGUUUAUGUCGACAACCAGGCUGCAAUCUCAAUUGCAAAUAAUCCAGUUUUUCAUGGAAAAACUAAGCACUUCAAGAUUAAAUUGUAUUUCCUUAGAGAAGUUCAAAAGAAUGGUGAAGUAAGUUUGGUGCACUGCAAUUCAGAAUUUCAGAAUGCUGAUAUUUUGACCAAAUCUCUCUCCAAGGCUAGAUUUGAAUAUUUAAGAGAAAGACUUGGAGUUUGCUGCUCCUAAGCCAAGGAGGAGAUUUUGUUGAGUGUUGACUUAGUAGCUAUGUUGAAGGCCGUUCAGAUAUUUCUUUUGUUAUUUUGUUGCUAUUUUUAAGGAAUAAUCUGGUAUGCUUAUCAUAUCAGAUAUGCAUAACAAGUUUGCUUAUUUUGCUCAAGUUUUCUGUUAUUUUAGAGUCUAUAAAUACCUUUGUAAUGGUGUUUCAAAAAAUAAUAAGAAGCCUUCACAUGUUUAUAACUUCUCUUGUUAAACAUCUUUUUCAAUUAUUCUUAGUUUCUGAUACAUAUAUCUUACAAAGUGGUAUCAGAGCUAACAUCUUAUAGGACCUGUGAAAUUGAGUGAACCUAAAUCAAACCCAAACACCAACCCGUGAGAUGGAGGGAGAGUCUAGUAAUGGCACAAUUACUCCUCCAAUAUUUGAUGGAGUUAAUUACAAAGUUUGGGCAGUUAGGAUGGAAAUUCACCUCAAGGCUUAUGAUCUGUGGGAGGCUGUGGAACAAGAUUAUGAAGUUCCAGCACUUGGAGAUAACCCAACAAUGGUUCAGAUCAAAACUCAUAAAGAGAAGGUGACAAGAAAAGCAAAAGCUAUGAAUUGUUUGUUCUCUGCUGUUUCACCCUCGAUUCUUAGCAGAAUUAUGCAAAAGAAAUCUGCUGCAGAAAUUUGGAAAUAUCUUGAAAAGGAGUAUAAAGGAAAUGCAAAGUUAGAUAAUAUGCAAGUCAUGAAUUUGUUUCGUGAAUUUGAAACACAAAGGAUGAAAGAAUCAGAAACUGCAAAAGAGUAUGCCGAUAGACUUCUUGACAUUGCAAAUAAAGUGAGACUUUUUGGCAAAGAAUUUUCUGAUGAACGAAUUAUUCAGAAAAUUCUAGUCACGUUACCGGAAAAGUAUGAAGCAACGAUCUCAUCUUUGGAGAAUUCUAAAGAUCUGUCAAGUAUUACCUUGGCAGAACUUUUAAAUCCUUUACAAGCUCUGGAGCAAAGAAGGCUUAUGAGGAAUGAAGCUUCUGUUGAAGGUGCUUAUCAAGCAAGUUCUCAAAUUAAAGAAGGGAAAUCGACACAGAGGACAAGAAAUGCCAAAAAUCAUCCACCGUGUCCUCAUUGUAAAAAAACAAAUCAUCCUCAACAAAGGUGUUGGUGGAGACCAGAUAUUAAAUGCCAUAAAUGUGGCCAGUUGGGGCACAUCGAAAGAGUAUGCAAAGGACAGCAGCAAGAAGAGGUUGAGGCUAAGGCUGUUGUUGAUGAAAAUCAGGAGGAGCACUUAUUUGUGGCAUCAUGUGUUGCUACAGACAAUUCUGAAGGAUGGCUUAUAGACAGCGGCUGCACCAAUCAUAUGACCUAUGAUCGGGAGUUAUUUAAAGAGCUUGACACAACCGUCAUCACCAAAGUCAGAAUUGGAAAUGGUGAACGUAUUGCUGCCAGGGGUAAAGGAAUUGUGUCCAUAGAUAGCCUAUCAGGUCAGAAACUUAUUUCUGAAGUUUUAUUUGUUCCUGAUAUUGAUCGAAACUUGUUGAGUGUCGGGCAGCUGCUAGAAAAAGAUUAUGAAGUGCUAUUCAGAAACAAAUGCUGUAUAAUCAUCGACCCUGAAGGAAAGGAGGUGUUCAGAAUCAAGAUGAAAGGCAAAAGUUUUGUUCUUGAUAUACUGGAACAAGAACAAACUUUUGUUGCACAAAGAGACAGCAGUACCACACUUUGGCAUAAACGAUUGGGGCACUUUCAUCAUGAUGCAGUGCUCUUUAUGAAGAAGAAUCAAAUGGUAAAAGGCUUACCAGACUUGGAGAAAGAUUUACCGAUGUGUGCAGCUUGUCAAUAUGGAAAGCAAACCAGAUUGCCUUUUCCAAAAAAAACAGAAUGGAGAGCAACUCAUAAGCUAGAACUUGUACAUACAGAUGUUGGAGGCCCGCUGAAAGUAUCAUCCUUGAAUGGUAGUAAGUAUUAUAUUAUAUUCAUAGAUGAUUGUACAAGAUUCUGUUGGAUAUAUUUUCUUAAAUCCAAAACUGAGGUUGCUGGUAUUUUUUGGGAGUUCAAAACAUGGGUUGAAAAUCAAAGUGGAUGUGAGUUACAUGUCAUACGAUCUGAUAAUGGUACAGAAUACACAUCUGAUAAAUUCAACAGAUUUUGUAAAGAUGCAGGAAUUGAACACCAAUUGACGGCACCAUACACUCCACAACAGAAUGGA